This 109-nucleotide transfer RNA is filed under the name Metarhizium rileyi. Its description in RNAcentral is "tRNA-Leu". It matches the Rfam family "tRNA". From Rfam's summary of the family: Transfer RNA (tRNA) molecules are approximately 80 nucleotides in length. Their secondary structure includes four short double-helical elements and three loops (D, anti-codon, and T loops). Further hydrogen bonds mediate the characteristic L-shaped molecular structure. tRNAs have two regions of fundamental functional importance: the anti-codon, which is responsible for specific mRNA codon recognition, and the 3' end, to which the tRNAs corresponding amino acid is attached (by aminoacyl-tRNA synthetases). tRNAs cope with the degeneracy of the genetic code in two manners: having more than one tRNA (with a specific anti-codon) for a particular amino acid; and 'wobble' base-pairing, i.e. permitting non-standard base-pairing at the 3rd anti-codon position. Lineage: Eukaryota; Fungi; Ascomycota; Sordariomycetes; Hypocreales; Clavicipitaceae. The record is from RNAcentral.
GGCACUUUGGCCGAGUGGUCUAAGGCGCCGUGUUCAGGUUAAUCGAUCCGUUCGGUUGGACUUAUUCGCGGUCUAGUAAUAGGCGAGGGUUCGAAUCCCUCAGGUGUCA